This 77-nucleotide ribosomal RNA is filed under the name Anophryoides haemophila. RNAcentral's name for it is "partial Eukaryotic large subunit ribosomal RNA". Lineage: Eukaryota; Ciliophora; Oligohymenophorea; Philasterida; Glauconematidae. The record is from RNAcentral.
UAGAUGAAAAGCACCUUGAAAAGGGGGUUAAAUAGCACGUGAAAUUGUUGAAAGGGAAGCACUUAUGACCAGACUUG